Long non-coding RNA from Lynx canadensis (Canada lynx), 859 nucleotides. RefSeq lists it as uncharacterized. The record is from RefSeq and is a predicted model, not a curated record. The transcript is spliced from 2 exons. NCBI's taxonomy places the organism in Eukaryota, Metazoa, Chordata, Mammalia, Carnivora, Felidae.
CACACUCAGGUCUCAUUAGGCCCACACACUCUAGUUUAUCUUGGUGUACUUCUACAAGAAUCUGGGGAAAUGCACGUACCCACGACUGCCACAUGACCGACCUGACAGAAGAACCAAGAGAGAUCUGUACAAACCUACAAAAAAGAAAACGCAAUCAGUGAGAUCGUUGUAGAGAAAAGGUUUGGUGCUACAAUUCCAGCCCGGAAUCAAAGACCAGGCCUGUGGUCCUGAUUCUGCCACUAACUGGACCCAUUUCCUCUUCUGCAUUUGAACCAAAAGAAGCACAAUCUAUCCAAUGGUUGGAUCAACUACCUUAAGGAAAACGCAACGCCCCCUAAUUCUACAUAUGAAAGAAAAAUAUUUUACAUCAAAACAUGGGAUCUAAAUGUCCCUCUUAGAAAUGUGUCUUUUCGUGGCUAAGUGAGAGCUACUCUGAAUUCUGCUGAAACUCAAAAUUGGGAGACCGUCUGGAAAGUAUUCUGGGGUCAGGAAAUGGGGCAGAUAAAUGUCAAAGCAAAGACAGCCAUAUUUCUUACCGUGCUCCCUUCAUCUCCAUCCUGUGCGGGUUAGAGCCUCGAUGUUUGUAAAACAUCCCAGGCGGGGUUGGGCGGGGUGCGGUGCACAGGCAAAUGGUGCCUAAUAAACUGACUUGGGAAGCUCUGGCGUGGGAAGCUGGAACAGAGGAGACAAGAAAUAAAAGAGGGUGAAAGGAAGAUAAAAUUGAUCUGUGUUCUAAACCCUUCUGCUUACAGUAUUACUAUUUUAAGAACAAAAUUUGAGUGGCAUUUAGACACUUACUGCAAUUUGACAUAGGGAUUUCAUGUCUAUGGAUUCUACUAGUAAAUAAUUUGAGCUUGUC